RNAcentral lists this unclassified non-coding RNA (489 nucleotides) under Hevea brasiliensis (rubber tree). The record is from RNAcentral. Lineage: Eukaryota; Viridiplantae; Streptophyta; Magnoliopsida; Malpighiales; Euphorbiaceae.
AUAAAGGCUUAGUUGAAUUGAGUUUGAGUUGUAUUAAUUAUUUGAAUUUGCAUGUAUUUAUGUAGUAUUCAGUAAUGAUAAUCGAAUUUGGGAAUAAUACAAGUGGUUUAAGGAGAAUUUUAAUUAGAUUCAAAAUAAGUAGUAUUCAAAUUAUUAAUAAGAUUUGGAUUUGAUUAGGGUAAUUUUUGGCGGGCACUCUUAUCUGUUGUAAUUCCUAUAAGUCGAUGUCAACUCAUAGAUUUUGUAUUGUGAUGGGACAGACCCCACAGAUGGAUUAUUGGAGAGUGACUAAUUUAUAGUCAUUUAGUAAGAUAUUAAUUUAUAUUCUUAUAAGACUAGCAGAGAAGUGCAGGUCUCAAACUGCAGUUAUUUUUUCAAUUUGCACAUUUUAUUAAAUAAAUUAUGGAAUAGCCAAUGUCCAAACUAAUAUCAACUACCUGUUUGGGUGCAUGAAAAAUAAAUAAGAAAAAGAAGAAAGUAUCAAGAAAU